GAGUUUGAUCAUGGCUCAGAACGUACGCUGGCGGCACGCCUAAUACAUGCAAGUCGAACGAAGUAGCAAUACUUAGUGGCAGACGGGUGAGUAACAUGUAGGUAUCUUCCCUUUGGUGAGGAAUAACACGAGGAAACUUGUGCUAAUACCUCAUAAGUCUUUACGGAGAAAGCUUUAUGCGCCAAUGGAUGAGCCUGCACUUGAUUAGUUUGUUGGUAGGGUAAUGGCCUACCAAGACAAUGAUCAAUAGCUGAUUUGAGAGGAUGAUCAGCCACAUUGGGACUGAGACACGGCCCAAACUCCUACGGGAGGCAGCAGUAGGGAACCUUGCACAAUGGGGGAAACCCUGAUGCAGCGAUGCCGCGUGAGUGAAGAAGGCCUUUGGGUUGUAAAGCUCUUUCGUCGGGGAAGAAAAUGACUGUACCCGAAUAAGAAGGUCCGGCUAACUUCGUGCCAGCAGCCGCGGUAAUACGAAGGGACCUAGCGUAGUUCGGAAUUACUGGGCUUAAAGAGUUCGUAGGUGGUUAAAAAAGCUGGUGGUGAAAUCCCAGAGCUUAACUCUGGAACUGCCAUCAAAACUUUUUAGCUAGAGUAUGAUAGAGGAAAGCAGAAUUUCUAGUGUAGAGGUGAAAUUCGUAGAUAUUAGAAAGAAUACCAAUUGCGAAGGCAGCUUUCUGGAUCAUUACUGACACUGAGGAACGAAAGCAUGGGUAGCGAAGAGGAUUAGAUACCCUCGUAGUCCAUGCCGUAAACGAUGUGUGUUAGACGUUGGAAAUUUAUUUUCUGUG
RNAcentral lists this ribosomal RNA (788 nucleotides) under uncultured bacterium. RNAcentral's name for it is "bacterial SSU rRNA". It matches the Rfam family "Bacterial small subunit ribosomal RNA", at positions 9 to 845 of the family's 1533-position model. The record is from RNAcentral.